This 635-nucleotide ribosomal RNA is filed under the name uncultured Sphingomonas sp. RNAcentral's name for it is "bacterial SSU rRNA". It matches the Rfam family "Bacterial small subunit ribosomal RNA", at positions 63 to 743 of the family's 1533-position model. The record is from RNAcentral. Lineage: Bacteria; Pseudomonadati; Pseudomonadota; Alphaproteobacteria; Sphingomonadales; Sphingomonadaceae.
CGAACGAAGGCUUCGGCCUUAGUGGCGCACGGGUGCGUGAACGCGUGGGAAUCUGCCCUUAGGUUCGGAAUAACAGUUAGAAAUGACUGCUAAUACCGGAUGAUGACGUAAGUCCAAAGAUUUAUCGCCUGAGGAUGAGCCCGCGUAGGAUUAGCUAGUUGGUGUGGUAAAGGCGCACCAAGGCGACGAUCCUUAGCUGGUCUGAGAGGAUGAUCAGCCACACUGGGACUGAGACACGGCCCAGACUCCUACGGGAGGCAGCAGUGGGGAAUAUUGGACAAUGGGCGCAAGCCUGAUCCAGCAAUGCCGCGUGAGUGAUGAAGGCCUUAGGGUUGUAAAGCUCUUUUACCCGUGAUGAUAAUGACAGUAGCGGGAGAAUAAGCCCCGGCUAACUCCGUGCCAGCAGCCGCGGUAAUACGGAGGGGGCUAGCGUUGUUCGGAAUUACUGGGCGUAAAGCGCACGUAGGCGGCUUUGUAAGUUAGAGGUGAAAGCCUGGAGCUCAACUCCAGAACUGCCUUUAAGACUGCAUCGCUUGAAUCCAGGAGAGGUGAGUGGAAUUCCGAGUGUAGAGGUGAAAUUCGUAGAUAUUCGGAAGAACACCAGUGGCGAAGGCGGCUCACUGGACUGGUAUUAG